UCAUCAGAGCUUUGAUGGUAAAAAUCCAUGACUCUUAAACUAAGAUUCUGAGGCAUACAGUAUUCCAGAUAUAUUGCAACAGAGCAAGACAGACUUUUAUCUUCCUUUGGCAUGGAUGUUUGGAUGGUUGAUUUCACCUAGCAACAAUAAAAUACCAGCAAAGGCAGACUUGGUACAUCAAGCACAGACUCAGAUUCCUGCCUGCUUUUGGAUGUUUCUCACAGACACAUCCCUGAGCAAGACCAGAAGCUCCCUGCAGGUGUGCCUUUCAUGAAGGGCUUCUUUCUUCUCCUGAAUCAGUGCCAAGUUGCCACUACUGGCUACUGUAGAAGAGGAUGAUGGCCACCCCAAAGGACAAGGCUUAAGUUCCAGGAGAUUCUACCAGGAGACUCAGUUAUGGUUGAACACUAAGAGAAAUGUGUUGAUGAGAUCUAAAAGAGUGCUUCUGCUGCUCAGGAGAGCUAACAACUGGAAUAUUCCAUACCAUACCACAAGCUUGGCACACAGCUUGGCUUGACUUAGGGCCAGGUGAUCCAGGUGUGCCAGGGUUUGGAGGUGAGGAUCGAAGGGCAUCUGCUGUGUGCUCCCAACUCAGUAUCCAUCCGACAGCUGGAACAAUUAGAAUACACAACAUACAUUUAUUUGUAAAGGUGGGAACGCUGACCUAUGUGUACGUGCUAAUAAAUAGUAAAAGUCUGGGAAAUGUA
Molecule: long non-coding RNA, 707 nt
Organism: Varanus komodoensis (Komodo dragon)
Lineage: Eukaryota; Metazoa; Chordata; Lepidosauria; Squamata; Varanidae
Exons: 3
Source: RefSeq, a predicted model, not a curated record